AUUGAACGCUGGCGGCAUGCCUUACACAUGCAAGUCGAACGGCAUCGCGGGAAAGCUUGCUUUCCUGGCGGCGAGUGGCGGACGGGUGAGUAACACAUCGGAACGUACCGGCUAGUGGGGGAUAACCCGUCGAAAGACGGGCUAAUACCGCAUACGCUCUUCUGAGGAAAGCAGGGGACCUUUUGUCCUUGCGCUAGCCGAGCGGCCGGUGUCCGAUUCGCUAGUUGGUGGGGUAAAGUCCUACCAAGGCGACGAUCGGUAGCGGGUCUGAGAGGACGAUCCGCCACACUGGGAGUGAGACACGGCCCAGACGCCUACGGGAGGCAGCAGUGGGGAAUCUUGGACAAUGGGGGCAACCCUGAUCCAGCAAUGCCGCGUGGGUGAAGAAGGCCUUCGGGUUGUAAAGCCCUUUCGGCAGGGAAGAAAUCGGCGGGGCGAAUAACCCUGCUGGAUGACGGUACCUGCAGAAGAAGCACCGGCUAACUACGUG
RNAcentral lists this ribosomal RNA (490 nucleotides) under uncultured bacterium. Its description in RNAcentral is "partial 16S ribosomal RNA". It matches the Rfam family "Bacterial small subunit ribosomal RNA", at positions 28 to 507 of the family's 1533-position model. The record is from RNAcentral.